Molecule: ribosomal RNA, 253 nt
Filed under: uncultured bacterium
Lineage: Bacteria
Description: partial 16S ribosomal RNA
Rfam family: Bacterial small subunit ribosomal RNA
Source: RNAcentral
UACGGAGGGGGCUAGCGUUGUUCGGAAUUACUGGGCGUAAAGCGCACGUAGGCGGCUUUGUAAGUUAGAGGUGAAAGCCCGGAGCUCAACUCCGGAACUGCCUUUAAGACUGCAUCGCUUGAACGUCGGAGAGGUAAGUGGAAUUCCGAGUGUAGAGGUGAAAUUCGUAGAUAUUCGGAAGAACACCAGUGGCGAAGGCGCCUUACUGGACGACUGUUGACGCUGAGGUGCGAAAGCGUGGGGAGCAAACAGG